UAAAAACUUUAAUGUUUUAUAGUGAAGAGUACUGUGAAGGAAAGCUUAAUUUUUUUGAAAAUUUAUUUUUAAAUUUAAUGUUUAUAACCUGCUAAUGCUUAAUAAAAAACAAAGUAAUAGCGUACCUUUUGCAUUAUGGGUCAAUGAGUUUAUUCAAGUAGCGUGCUUAAGAAUUUAUAUUCGUAGGCUAAAAUAAAUUAAGUUUUAAAAUGCUUUGAUUAGUUACUGGAAAAUAACCCGAAAUUAAGUGAUCUAACCAUAAACAGAUUGAAUAUAAAUUUUUAUAGAAGGAUCGAACUCGUGUAUGUUGCAAAAUACUGAGAUGAUUUGUGGUUUGGAGUGAAAGGCUAAUCAAACUUAAACAUAGCUGGUUUUCUGCGAAAUCUAUUUAAGUAGGUCGUUAAGAAAUUUAUUUUUAGGGGUAAAGAACUUUUUAAGUAAUGGGGAUUUAGUUUCUUACUGCACUUAUUAAAACUUUGAAUACUAAGCUUAUUAUUUUUAACAGUCAGACUAUAAAUGCUAAGAUUUGUAGUCAAAAGGGAAACAGCCCAGAUUAAUAAUUAAGGUCUUAAAAAAUAAUUUUAUUAAAAAUAAUAUAAAACUCCUAUAAAUAGUAUGUAAGCUUAGAACCAGCUAUCAUUUAAAGACUACGUAAUAGUUCACUGUUUUAGUUUUGUAUUUUUGAAAAUUUAUAGUAUAAAUUAUUUACCGAAAUUUUAAAUUUUUAAAUUUUAAAAAUGGUAGCAGAACGUUCUGUACUAAAAAACAUGGUAACAUAAAAAAAUCAGAAUUGUAUAUAUUGACAUGAGUAGCGAAUUUAUAAUGUAAAAUCAUUAUUAUCUUAAGUCUAAAGUUUCCAAAACAAUAUUAAACAAUUUUGGUCAAAUUAUUCGGUCUCUAAGAAGUUAAACGAAAGUUUAAUUUGAUGGGUAAAAGUUUUAAUUACUUUAUUCAAAUUUAGUGACAAAAUAUAAAAUUUACUUUUAUUUGAGAUGAUACAAAAAAAUAAAAUUAGUAUUUUCAAGAAAUAGCUAAAUAAAUCCAAAACCGUACUACAAACCGACACAGGUGGACAAGUUGAGUAAACUAAGAUAUAGGAUUAACUACGUUGAAGGAACUCGGCAAAUUGACUCUGUAUCUUUGUGAAGAAAGAGUGACUAUUCUUGUAAAUAGUCGAUAUAAAAUCGAGAACAGCGACUGUUUACUAAAAACAUAGGUUUUUGCAAAUUUGUAAAAAGUUGAAUAAAAGCUGACACCUGCCCAGUGCAAAUAAAAUAAAAAAUAACUGUUGUAUUUAGCUUUUGUUAUAAUUUUUUGUAAACGGCGGCUGUAACUCUGACGGUCCUAAGGUAGCGAAAUUCCUUGGCAUUUAAUUGGUGUCCCGCAUGAAAGGUGUAACGACUGUUCUACUGUCUCCAACGUAUUUCUUGUGAAAUUGAAUUUUUUGUGAAAAUGCAGAAUAUUUUUGGCUAGACGGAAAGACCCUGUAAACCUUUACUAUAACCAUAAAAUGUUAAAAAAACUUUUAUGAAAAGAAUAAAUGGUAGUCGUUUGUAUAUUUUUAUAAAUGUUAAAAAUAAAGACCCUCUUUGAAAUACCAUUCUUAAGACUUUUUUGGUGCUAAUUAAAUUUAAAAUUAAAAAAUUUUAUGGUUGGUAGUUUGACUGGGGCGGUGGUCUCCUAAAAAGUAACGGAGACGCAUAAAGGUAGAUUUUUAGCAAAAUUUACAAAGCUAAUAGAUACAAUAGUUAAAAUCUGCUUAACUGAGAGAUAAACAAAUCGAUCAGAAACGGAAGUUGAUUAUAGUGAUCUGGUAAUUUUUUGUAGUAAAAUUACCACUUAACGAAUAAAAGGUACUUCAGGGAUAACAGCCUAAUCAUUUUUUAGAGACCUUAUCGACAAAAUGGUUUGGGACCUCGAUGUUGGAUUAACACAACCUGGGACUGCAAAAGGUCCCAAGGGUUUGACUGUUCGUCAAGUAAUGUGUUACAUGAUCUGAGUUUAGAACGUUGUAAAACAGUUUGGACCCUAUCUACCAUAAUGUUUAUAAAUCGAGGGGAGCAAAUUCUAGUACGAGAGGACCGAAAAAUGUGGAUCUAUGGUGACCGAUUGUUAAAUCAUUUGCAAGUUGGAUAGCUAAAUUCAUAAAAAAUAAUCACAGCUCGUGAGAAAUUAACCCCAAAAAUUUUUAUAUUAAAAAAUUAUAGGAGACUACUAUAAAAAUAGGUUUAAAGUGUAAAAAUUGUAAAAUUUUAGCUAAUAAAUACUAA
This 2270-nucleotide ribosomal RNA is filed under the name Surirella sp. Its description in RNAcentral is "large subunit ribosomal RNA". It matches the Rfam family "Bacterial large subunit ribosomal RNA", at positions 467 to 2904 of the family's 2925-position model. Lineage: Eukaryota; Bacillariophyta; Bacillariophyceae; Surirellales; Surirellaceae. The record is from RNAcentral.